AGUCGUCUUAGUUUAAAUAAAAUGUUGUGUUGUGGCCGCAGAGAUAAAAUUUUUUAGUCGAU
RNAcentral lists this transfer RNA (62 nucleotides) under Lutraria rhynchaena. Its description in RNAcentral is "tRNA-His". Lineage: Eukaryota; Metazoa; Mollusca; Bivalvia; Venerida; Mactridae. The record is from RNAcentral.